CCUGGCUCUUGUCACUACGUACAGUCCUUUUCAGAAUAUACCAGAGUACAGCUGAAGAUUAGCAACUGAAAUGUAGGACAUGAAAUAAUUGGUCACACUAUGCUUAGAGCUGACCAAUCUUAAUUUUUUCUAGUGAUAGAAUACCACUUGAUUGAAAAGAGUUCAUUGGUUUCAUGUAAAAUGUGGUCAGCAAAGUUGUUAAGUUGAUCUUCUUUCAAGCUUUGCUUUUUUGAUAUUCUCAAGAUCCCUUAAAUCGUGACCAUUGCUAAUUGCAACCUUGGAACAACUUAUUUUCCUUAUGAGUUCCCAUGAUCUGCCAAAGAAAUUUGCAAACCACCUGCCUUGUAAAAGCUCAUACGUAAUAUCAUGUGAACUUACCCCACUGUAAGAUGGUGUAAUCCUGCAACAGAACCUUCCACCAAUAGGAGUGUGACACAACUCCAUGUGUAACAACUUCCUAUACAUUCUUGCUUGUGAAUCCUUAUUUUUCAACUCAGCACUGUCGAGAACAGACAUGUUUAAGUUUGCUGAGAUUUGCCUCUUUUUUAUUUUUAACUUUCACUUGAUUGAGUUUAGAUAUACUCAGUAUGAAUUCACUUGAGUAGAACCCCCAGUGGCACGUGGUAUGUCUGCGGACUUAUACUGCUAGAAACCAAGUUUCUAUACCAGUGUUGAGCAGAGCACAAAUAGUUCUUUGUGU
This is a long non-coding RNA of Limulus polyphemus (Atlantic horseshoe crab), 700 nucleotides long. RefSeq lists it as uncharacterized. The transcript has 4 exons. The record is from RefSeq and is a predicted model, not a curated record. Lineage: Eukaryota; Metazoa; Arthropoda; Merostomata; Xiphosura; Limulidae.